GACGAACGCUGGCGGCGUGCCUAACACAUGCAAGUCGAACGGAGCAGAUCCCUUCGGGGGUUUGCUUAGUGGCGAGCGGGUGAGUAACGCGUGAGGAACCUGCCUUUCAGUGGGGGACAACAGUUGGAAACGACUGCUAAUACCGCAUAAGCGCACGGAACCGCAUGGUUCUGUGUGAAAAACUCCGGUGGUAUAAGAUGGACCCGCGUUGGAUUAGCUUGUUGGUGGGGUAACGGCCCACCAAGGCGACGAUCCAUAGCCGGCCUGAGAGGGUGAACGGCCACAUUGGGACUGAGACACGGCCCCAA
This 308-nucleotide ribosomal RNA is filed under the name uncultured bacterium. RNAcentral describes it as "bacterial SSU rRNA". It matches the Rfam family "Bacterial small subunit ribosomal RNA", at positions 28 to 335 of the family's 1533-position model. The record is from RNAcentral.